This 506-nucleotide ribosomal RNA is filed under the name uncultured bacterium. RNAcentral describes it as "partial 16S ribosomal RNA". It matches the Rfam family "Bacterial small subunit ribosomal RNA", at positions 29 to 523 of the family's 1533-position model. The record is from RNAcentral.
AGUGAACGCUGGCGGUAGGCCUAACACAUGCAAGUCGAACGGCAGCACAGGAGAGCUUGCUCUCUGGGUGGCGAGUGGCGGACGGGUGAGGAAUACAUCGGAAUCUACUCUGUCGUGGGGGAUAACGUAGGGAAACUUACGCUAAUACCGCAUACGACCUACGGGUGAAAGCAGGGGACCUUCGGGCCUUGCGCGAUUGAAUGAGCCGAUGUCGGAUUAGCUAGUUGGCGGGGUAAAGGCCCACCAAGGCGACGAUCCGUAGCUGGUCUGAGAGGAUGAUCAGCCACACUGGAACUGGGACACGGGCCAGACUCCUACGGGAGUCCGCAGUGGGGAAUAUUGGACAAUGGGCGCAAGCCUGAUCCAGCCAUACCGCGUGGGUGAAGAAGGCCUUCGGGUUGUAAAGCCCUUUUGUUGGGAAAGAAAUCCAGCUGGCUAAUACCCGAUUGGGAUGACGGUACCCAAAGAAUAAGCACCGGCUAACUUCGUGCCAGCCGCCGCCGUAA